This 47-nucleotide transfer RNA is filed under the name Rotaria rotatoria. RNAcentral describes it as "tRNA-Arg". Lineage: Eukaryota; Metazoa; Rotifera; Eurotatoria; Philodinida; Philodinidae. The record is from RNAcentral.
UUGUUAAUAUUUUAAGAUUACUCGGUAAUCCUUUGUCUUUUAGUGGA